AUACGGAGAGGGCUAGCGUUAUUCGGAAUUAUUGGGCGUAAAGGGCGCGUAGGCUGGUUAAUAAGUUAAAAGUGAAAUCCCGAGGCUUAACCUUGGAAUUGCUUUUAAAACUAUUAAUCUAGAGAUUGAAAGAGGAUAGAGGAAUUCCUGAUGUAGAGGUAAAAUUCGUAAAUAUUAGGAGGAACACCAGUGGCGAAGGCGUCUAUCUGGUUCAAAUCUGACGCUGAAGCGCGAAGGCGUGGGGAGCAAACAGGAUUAGAUACCCUGGUAGUCCACGCUGUAAACGAUGAAUGUUAAAUAUGGGAAGUUUACUUUCUGUAUUACAGCUAACGCGUUAAACAUUCCGCCUGGGGACUACGGUCGCAAGAUUAAAACUCAAAGGAAUUGACGGGGACCCGCACAAGCGGUGGAGCAUGUGGUUUAAUUCGAUGCAACGCGAAAAACCUUACCACUUCUUG
RNAcentral lists this ribosomal RNA (458 nucleotides) under Wolbachia endosymbiont of Aedes albopictus. RNAcentral's name for it is "bacterial SSU rRNA". It matches the Rfam family "Bacterial small subunit ribosomal RNA", at positions 523 to 983 of the family's 1533-position model. The record is from RNAcentral. Lineage: Bacteria; Pseudomonadati; Pseudomonadota; Alphaproteobacteria; Rickettsiales; Anaplasmataceae.